GAAAAGAGUCUGUGAUGCACCUUUGGAUGAGCACCAGAUGAAGAGAAAAGAUCAGCUGCAAGAGAUCCUUCAGUCAACAAAAGGGCUUUACAGAUGAGCAAUUCAAGACUGCACAAUCAAAUGUGACUAAGCUACACGUCUCAGGCCACAC
Hipposideros armiger (great roundleaf bat) is the source of this 151-nucleotide long non-coding RNA. RefSeq lists it as uncharacterized. The record is from RefSeq and is a predicted model, not a curated record. Lineage: Eukaryota; Metazoa; Chordata; Mammalia; Chiroptera; Hipposideridae. The transcript has 3 exons.